CCUACGGGAGGCAGCAGUGGGGAAUAUUGGGCAAUGGGCGCAAGCCUGACCCAGCAACGCCGCGUGAAGGAAGAAGGCUUUCGGGUUGUAAACUUCUUUUGAUAGGGAAGAGUAGAAGACGGUGCCUGUCGAAUAAGCUACGGCUAACUACGUGCCAGCAGCCGCGGUAAUACGGAGGUGGCCAGCGUUGUCCGGAUUUACUGGGUGUAAAGGGCGUGUAGCCGGGUUGACAAGUCAGAUGUGAAAGCCUGCGGCUUAACCGCAGAACUGCAUUUGAAACUGUUGGUCUUGAGUACUGGAGAGGCAGGCGGAAUUCCUGGUGUAGCGGUGAAAUGCGUAGAUAUUAGGAGGAACACCAGUGGCGAAGGCAGUCUGCUGGACAGCAACUGACGGUGAGGCGCGAAAGCGUGGGGAGCAAACAGGAUUAGAUACCCCAGUAGUC
This 442-nucleotide ribosomal RNA is filed under the name uncultured bacterium. Its description in RNAcentral is "partial 16S ribosomal RNA". It matches the Rfam family "Bacterial small subunit ribosomal RNA", at positions 338 to 795 of the family's 1533-position model. The record is from RNAcentral.